CUCGGGCUCCGCCAAAUUCUAUGGAUUUAGUCCGUCCCCCCCAGGGAGGGGUUUUGGCAGAGAGACUGGAGACUGAAGGUGCAUAUGGAUAUCAGCAACCUGUUUAUCAGCAGACCUCUAUGAUCCCUAUUGAGGAUUUCCAGUUCCGCAAAUGGCUUGGCCAAGGAAGUUUCGGAAAGGUCUUUAUGGCAGAACAUAAGAAGACAGGGAAAAACGUUGCCAUUAAAAUGAUGGAAAAGCUACAAAUCUG
Xenopus tropicalis (tropical clawed frog) is the source of this 250-nucleotide long non-coding RNA. RefSeq lists it as uncharacterized. The record is from RefSeq and is a predicted model, not a curated record. The transcript is spliced from 3 exons. NCBI's taxonomy places the organism in Eukaryota, Metazoa, Chordata, Amphibia, Anura, Pipidae.